UUUUUUUAAGAUUUUAUUUAUUUAUUUCAUGUAUGUGGGAACAUUGCCACUGUCUUCAGACACACCAGAAAAGGGCAUCAGAUCCCAUUACAGAAGGUUGUGAGCUACUGUGUGAUUGCUGGGAAUUGAACUCAGGACCUCUGGAAGGGCAGCCAGUCAGUGCUCUUAACUUCGGAGCCAUCUCUCCAGCCCCUGCCUCUACAUUCUGAAUACUGGGGUGGCAGACAUGCAUCACUACACCUGGCUUCAGACUCUUAAAAAUUAUAUUUUAGAUUUUUUUAUGUGUAUGAGUACGAGCACGCAGUGCCCGAGGGGAUCAGAAAGGUCAUCAUGUCUCUUGGAACUGGAGUUACAAAUGAUUGUGAGUUGCCAUGUGGGUGCUGGGAAGCCACCCUGGGGUCUCUGAGUCAACAGCCAGUGCUCUUAACUGCUGAGCCAUCUCUCAGUUCCCUGACUUCAGAUGUUAAACCCGACCAGGAAGCCGAGGGUCUGAGCAGUCCUGGCUGGCCUCAGCUCCGUAGACUGCAGACUGGGUGACUCAGAGCUGAUCUUGGCUCUGUUCUCCGGAUGGAAUUCUCCACCUACGUCUCCUCCUGGGUGACAACAGCUCCCACAAUGCCCACUCACUGUACACAGGAGCUGGGCGGCAGUUUCCACCUUUCAUCUGCCCAUAUCACCAAGAGUAUACCAAAGGAGGUACUGCGGUGGCCUUCAGUUCAGGCAUGGAGAGAUCAGGAUAGAAGGAUUGGCUGAACUGCCCUCACAACCCCUCUCCCAGUAGGACACGGGUAACCAGGCAAGACCAGAUGGGAAUCAUGGUCUGUGAGUGGGAACGUCUCCCUCCCUAACCAGGAAGCAAACCCGUCCCAGGAAGGGGUAUGAGCAUCAGCAAGGAAUAGCCUUACUCUGAUCUCCUGUUCAAGCUUCUCUCUCUCUCCCUCUCUCCCUCUACCCGUCUCUCCCUCUCCCCCCCCCCCCCACUUCAGUGGAAAGAGAGGCCCAAGAGAGGACAAGAGCUGUGUCCAGGGACCCACGCCACUGCCUCCCCAGACUGAGCUCACUCUCAGAAAAUGGCUACAAAGAAAACCUCUAGAUGCGCAGCUCUCUCCUGGGCACCCGCUCCUAACACGCACACAAAUCAGGGACAAAGGAUGCAAGUCCUGAACGAACCUUCCUACAGCAGCCAGCCGCGGGAGCCCUCUCCGCCCCUCUUUGUGUGGGGCCAGAAGGGGAGGGAGCUGUCUGAAAGAGCCUCAGAUUUAAUGAGGGGAAGAAGGAAAAGAAAGGGGGCUGGGGAAGUGGGGGCCUCCCGGCCGGUUAUGGCCGGCCGGGUCCCCUCCCCUGUGCUGGUUGCUGCCCCAAAACAGAGCUGGCCUCCCGCCUGGUCCCCAACAGUGGCGACCAGGUGGACACACGCAACCUCCCUCAAUUUCUGGAUCUUUCCAAAUCCAAAGUUUGGCACAGGUAGUCAGUGACAACCGACACCAACCUCGCUCAAGAGCGGGAUGGGGGGGGGGGGGCUCCUGCCCACCCUUCUUACCCAACCCCCAUCUCCUUUCCAGCUCGAGCUGGAGGGAAAGGGUCCAGCGCUUGCAGGGGGGGUGCCCUAGAGUGAGCGGGCCAGACUGCGCGCCGAAAGAGGAUGCAGACGGAGCUGGUUACGACGACGUUCAGACAGACAGACAGUGCCCGAAUCCUAGAGAAGUGAACGGGACAAACACAAAAGAACAGACUAAGCCAGGCGACAGGGGCAGACAGAAUGACAGACGCUCUGCCAGAAAGACAGUAAGCUCAGCGGGGCCGGGACCCUACCAGUUACACAAAGAGUCCCGCGCCCUGGAGAGAGACGCGCCACGCAACCUGGGGGUGCUCUGAGCUGGGGAGCGCGCAAUGGCCGCGGGGCUCCCCGCACCCGCUGCCGGCCUCAGUAUCCCGGUUCUCGGAGUGACGGCGCCAAAGGCGCCCGGCCGCGCCCCACCCCUCCCCCGCGGUCACCCGAGCCGCGACACCAGCUGUCCAGCGCACCGCGGCCGAAGCGGAGCAGCUGGGGGAUGAGGAUAAGAAGGGCAUCGGUGGGGCCUCUGAAAGGCAAGUUUGGAGGAAGCAAAAAGAAGAAAGUACUUGGAGGAAGAAGGUAGAGAAAAAGUGAGCGGGGCCGCGGCAGGGACGAGGUGGGCACUCACGCAGCUGAGCAGGGAGCAGGCCCCGAGACAGGCCCCCAUGGCGGUGAGGGGCGCGGGGCUCGGGGCACCGGCCUCGGAUCCCGGAUCCGGUGGGACUCCAGGCGCUUGGCUGGCCCCACCCCAAACCCAUCCCCGCCCCAGCCCCGCCCCACCUGCCGAAGCCGCUCGUCACUUUCCGGCGACGCUCGGGGCCUCCUAGGACUCACCUGGGACAGGUACUGGCGCCAGACAUUUCCUAAAGAGGUUGAGAUGGGGAAAGUCCAGCAACGACAGGGGCACAGCCCAACUCAACUCUGAGCUAGGAUUGUCUGCUGAACCAAAGCGAGGAUUUGGAAAUACAUCUGGAUUUGAACUUCAUAGGAGCCAUUGUGUGACCGACCCCAAAUACUGUCAUUGUUAGAGGAAGUAAGAGGUGGUCUUCCCUGAUGCCCUUGGAUCUUGGCGGAAAACCUCGGCCCAAUCUAUGGGUGCUCAAUGUCACAGAUGGCAGGGUGUGUCCGGAGGCUGAGGACGGAACAGCAGCCAUGAUGACAGUCACUGUUGGCAGAGAGAGAAUGGCCUGGUGGGCUUUGUUCCCCAUUCUGAGGGCUCCAACUUCCUGUGUGGGAAGCAUCUGGAAUGAAGAUGGAUGAGGGUGGAAGAGAUGAGCCAACAGUGGAGUGCUGCCAGAUGUGAAGAGCAGGGAGGUCCUGCAGAUGUUUCCCUCGGAGACCUCAGGAGUCCGCUCUGAAUGCAGGUGAGCAGAGGUGCACAGGGCAGGGUGAUGGUUGCUCUGAGGAUGAGUGUGGCAGUGAGGAGUGCGCGUGUGGAUUUGGCAUGCUAAUAAACCAUGUGUAGUAUGUAUGCACUGAGUUUCACACGUGGUUGUGGGGGUGUUGGUGUGUGCAUGUAUGGAGCAGGAUAAUUAGUGUGCAGGAGAGAAAAUAAAAAUAAACGUUAUUGGGCUCAGUCUUUAUGUUCAUUGGGUGGAUAGGGAGAUAGAUGGAUGGAGGAAGGGAUCGGCAGGAGGUGGAUGGGUAGAUGAAUGGUUAGGGAGAUGAAGGAGAAUACAGUAGAGCAAAACUACUGUAUGACGCCUUGUGAGCUCCAGGUAGUAAGCAUGUAGAUACUUUUUCUUUCUUUUUGUUCUGUUUAUCAUAGCUGUUGGGUUUUCUAGAUAAAAUCUCACUGUGUUGUCUAUCCCAGCCUGGAACUUGUUACGUAGCCAAAGCAAGCCUUGAACUCUUGGCCUUUCUGCCUCCAUCUACCAAGUGCUGACUAUGUACCACCAUGCCCACACAGUCUGUACAAUUCUCUUAACCCUUCUGGAUGUUUGAAAGGCUUUUUAUAGUAGAAUGUAUAUUCAGGGGGCUGGUGAGAUGGUUUGGUAGAUAAAGUCACUUGCUGUCAAGCUUCACGACUGAGGUUGGACCCCCAGGACCCAAAGUGAGCACUGACUCCUGCAAUUUAUCCUCUGACAUCCACACAGACCCUGUGGCAUGCUCCCCACCCCAGACAAAUAAACAGGCCUUUCUAAAAAAUGUAUGCAUGGCAUGAGCUAUGUGCCUUCUCCAAGAGGACCAUGGACAACACAAAAAACCCAUCAGAGGGGCUGGAGAGAUGGCUCAGCGGGUAAGAGCCCUGACUGCUCUUCCAGAAGUCCUGAGUUCAAAUCCCAGCAACCACAUGGUGUCUCACAACCAUUUGCAAUGGGAUCUGAUGCCCUCUUCUGGUAUGUCUGAAGACAGCUAUGAUGUAUGCAUAUAUAUAGAAAUCCAGGCUUUGUGGAGCAGAGCUACAAUCCCAGCACUUAGCCAACAGAGGUAAGAUUGCACAGGAAGUCAAGCUGAUGCCCAGGAUUAUCUGUACACACAGUUAAGCCUGCUCCUAUUUCCCAUGAAGUCUCCCAGCCUCUAUGAAGCCAGUCCCAUUCCUUGGGUAGAGCAGAUAUACUGAGUUGAGGAAGGGCAGUCACCAGCCCCAGGGCAGCCAUAGGGGACUGAGAACUCUAUCAUCUACAGCUUGACCAAGCGGCGUCUCCUGGUGAGCAGAAGUGUGGGUGUCUGAAAGUCUCAUGCUUCCUGGAGGGAGUCAGGGCAAAAGCAGGUGCCCAGAGCUCUGGGAACAGCGACUUCUGUCACACAUUCAUUUCAUCCUGUCCUGUCCAGCAUCUUCCCUUGUCCCAAGACUUAGGUCUAAGCUUCCAGUAGGACCUCACUGUACAGAAAUCGGGGCCUGGAGAGGAUGGUGCCCCUUAGGCUGCUGCUAGCCAGGAGCAACAUGAACCCACAGCUUAGGGGCCCAGCAGAAGGAUCCCAGAUCCCUCAGACCUAGAGAGGAGGCACAGAGUGCAUUCCUGCCCAUAGUUCAUACACUGGAGCUAAGCCAGCAGGGAGAAAGAAACAGCAUGUGGCUGGAGUUCUCAUCUCAGUGUUACUAAAGGAUCCUGUUAGGGUAACCCUGGGCAGCUCCCUGCCCAUGUUUAGACUGAAGUAUCCAUCUAUCUAUAAGAAGAAUAGUUUGUAGACCAGCAAAAUGGCUCAUCAGGUAAAGGUGCUUACCACCAGGUCAACAACCUGAGUUUGAUCUCUGGGACCCACACGGUAGAAAGAGAGAUAUGACUCCCAGAAGCUAUUCUCUGGGCUCCAUACAUGCACAUAAUAGAAGAAGAAGAAGAAGAAGAAGAAGAAGAAGAAGAAGAAGAAGAAGAAGAAGAAGAAGAAGAAGAAGAAGAAGAAGAAGAAGAAGAAGAAGCAGCAGAAGAAAGAGAGACAGAAAGGAAGCAAGGAAGGAAGGAAGCAAGGAAGGAAGCAAGGAAGGAAGCAAGGAAGGAAGGAAGGAAGGAAGGAAGGAAGGAAGGAAGGAAAGACAAUUUGAGACCCAAAAAUAAGAUAGGCAUGCUUAUAAGCUAGCACUUAAGAGGCUGAGGCAGAGAAUCACUGUGAGUUCAAGGCCAGCCUAGGAUAUACAGGUGAGUUUAGUCUACAGCAUGAGCUCUUGUCAAUAAACAAAUGAAUAAAUCUUUAAGCAAAAGUGGCUGUUAUUACUAGUCACUGGCCCACCCCCAAUGCUGUGAACUCACUGGCUUCACCACAAAUCGGAUCCACCAAAAGACCAACGCAUUGCACAGCUGCUUCCCAGAUUCUUUAGGCCCACCUGUCUCUGCAGCUGCUGCAGAACAGCUGGGCAUCAAGGGCUGCUGGGAGGCUCCCUGGCCCUGGGGAUGAGAAACCCAGGCUCCCUGUAAUCAGGCCAGCCUCAGAACCAACCCGUUUCAUCAGGACAACCCAGCUUCUAGCAAAUGAUCAUUUGCACUCUCGGCCUGCCCGGCCCCAGGCUGUGACCCAGCUGGUCAAAGAACAGAGAAGAAGGCAGGUAGUUAGCCAAAGUCUUUCAUGCCAGGGAGCCCUCCUCAGGUGGGAUUCAUAGAAGAGUGCCUGGAGACACAAGCAGGAAGGACAGUCUACCUGAAGCCAAGCCCCUCCCCUCCCCAGCCCCCCCACCCAGCCCCAACUUCCCGCUCCCUGACCCCCCCACCCCAUGCCCAGGCAACAGUCAUCACAAGCUAACAGAGCUUUGUCGUGGGGAACCUGGUGGGUGUCCACACAAUGAGCUCUUUUCCAACUCAAAAAAAAAGUGGGGACUGGUGAGGUGAAUCAGUACUAGCUGUGCAAGGAUGAGGCCAGAGUUUGGAUUCCUAGGACCUACGUAAAGUCAGAUGUGGUCGUGAACAUCUGUAAUCCUACUGGGAGAUGAGAAUCAGGAACAGCAAAGUCCCUAAGAGCUCAAGAGUCAGCUUGUACAAUAGUGACAGCAACCUUGUCUCAGGCUGGAAAGCAAGAACAGGCACCCAAGAUUGUCCUCAGACCUCCACACAUGCACGCCCCCAGUGGGAUGCACACAAACUCACAAACACAUACACACUACAUACACAUUUUAAAAAGAAGGAAGCCAGGCAUGGUGGCAUGUCUUUAAUCCCUGUCCUUGGGAAGCAGAGGCGGAGCUCUGUGAGUCUGAGGCCAGCCUGCUCUACAUAGAGAGUUCCAGGACAACCACAGCCACAAAACUGAAAAAGAAGGAAAGACAGGGGCGGUGGACCGCAAUGAAAACCAACAAGCGGAGAAGGCUGUAGGAAAAAGAGGAAGCUUUCACAAUCCGAAUUAGCACAGACAUUAGGGAAGGCCGUGUAGAAGUUCCUCAAAAAGCUAAAAAUAGGACUACCAUAUGAACGCGAGGGAAGAUGCAAAGCAGGGGAAACAGGAAUGCCGUGUUAUAAUGGAAAAAAGAG
Molecule: long non-coding RNA, 6450 nt
Organism: Mus musculus (house mouse)
Lineage: Eukaryota; Metazoa; Chordata; Mammalia; Rodentia; Muridae
Product: predicted gene, 34957
Exons: 2
Source: RefSeq, a predicted model, not a curated record